This 380-nucleotide ribosomal RNA is filed under the name uncultured bacterium. RNAcentral's name for it is "bacterial SSU rRNA". It matches the Rfam family "Bacterial small subunit ribosomal RNA", at positions 28 to 421 of the family's 1533-position model. The record is from RNAcentral.
GACGAACGCUGGCGGCGUGCCUAACACAUGCAAGUCAAGGCGGUAGCAAUACCGACUGGCGCACGGGUGCGGAACACGUAGGUAAUCUGCCCUUUAGGGGAGAACAACUCAUCGAAAGGUGAGCUAAAUCUCCGUAAUGUUUUACUAUGGCAUCAUAGUUCAACCUAAGUUUUCGUAAGGGAUGAGCCUGCGUCUGAUUAGCUAGUUGGUGAGGUAACUGCUCACCAAGGCUACGAUCAGUAGCUGGUCUGAGAGGAUGAUCAGCCACAUUGGGACUGAGACACGGCCCAGACUCCGUACGGGAGGCAGCAGUGAGGAAUAUUGCUCAAUGGACGAAAGUCUGAAGCAGCAACGCCGCGUGAGGGAUGAAGGUGCUCUGC